RNAcentral lists this ribosomal RNA (557 nucleotides) under uncultured Thermoplasmatales archaeon. RNAcentral describes it as "bacterial SSU rRNA". It matches the Rfam family "Archaeal small subunit ribosomal RNA", at positions 10 to 570 of the family's 1478-position model. The record is from RNAcentral. Lineage: Archaea; Methanobacteriati; Thermoplasmatota; Thermoplasmata; Thermoplasmatales.
GAUCCUGCCGGCGGGCACCGCUAUUGGAGUUCGCUUAAGCCAUGCGAGUCGAGAGGGGUAAGCCCUCGGCGCACUGCUCAGUAACACGCGGACAAUCUGCCCUCGAGACGGGGAUAACCCCGGGAAACUGGGGAUAAUACCCGAUAGGUCUGAGAUGAUGGAAGGCUCUCAGGUCCAAAUCCUGCGGGGCUCGAGGAUGGGUCUGCGGCCUAUCAGGUAGUAGGGGGUUUCACGGACCCCCUAGCCGUAGACGGGUACGGGCUUUGGGAGAAGUCGCCCGGAGAUGGAUUCUGAGACACGAAUCCAGGUCCUACGGGACGCAGCAGGCGCGAAACCUCCACAAUGUGGGCAACCACGAUGGGGGAACUCCAAGUGCCUACACUUUUGUGUAGGCUGUUCUCGAGCCUAAAAAGCUCGAGAAGUAAGGGCCGGGUAAGACGGGUGCCAGCCGCCGCGGUAAUACCCGCGGCCCGAGUGGUGCUCAUUAUUAUUGAGCCUAAUGCGUCCGUAGCUGGCCGGGCAAAUCUCCGGGUAAAUCGGGCGGCUCAACUGCCCGA